RNAcentral lists this transfer RNA (70 nucleotides) under Episoriculus macrurus (Long-tailed mountain shrew). RNAcentral describes it as "tRNA-Lys". It matches the Rfam family "tRNA". Rfam says of the family: Transfer RNA (tRNA) molecules are approximately 80 nucleotides in length. Their secondary structure includes four short double-helical elements and three loops (D, anti-codon, and T loops). The record is from RNAcentral. Lineage: Eukaryota; Metazoa; Chordata; Mammalia; Eulipotyphla; Soricidae.
CAUCAAGAAGCUAAAUUCAAGCAUUAACCUUUUAAGUUAAAGACUGGGAAUCUAAAUUUCCCCUUGAUGA